GUGGGGAAUAUUCCGCAAUGGACGAAAGUCUGACGGAGCAACGCCGCGUGAGUGAUGAAGGUUUUCGGACUGUAAAGCUCUGUUGUUUAGGACGAAAGUGCCUGUUGCAAAUAGUUACAGGUAUUGACGGUACUGAACGAGGAAGCCACGGCUAACUACGUGCCAGCAGCCGCGGUAAUACGUAGGUGGCAAGCGUUGUCCGGAAUUAUUGGGCGUAAAGAGCAUGUAGGCGGGAAUCUAAGUCUGUUGUGAAAAUGCGGGGCUCAACCCCGUAUUGCGAUGGAAACUGGGUUUCUUGAGUGCAGGAGAGGAAAGGGGAAUUCCCAGUGUAGCGGUGAAAUGCGUAGAUAUUGGGAGGAACACCAGUGGCGAAGGCGCCUUUCUGGACUGUGUCUGACGCUGAGAUACGAAAGCCAGGGUAGCGAACGGGAUUAGAAACCCGGGUAGUCC
RNAcentral lists this ribosomal RNA (450 nucleotides) under uncultured bacterium. RNAcentral's name for it is "partial 16S ribosomal RNA". It matches the Rfam family "Bacterial small subunit ribosomal RNA", at positions 354 to 796 of the family's 1533-position model. The record is from RNAcentral.